Molecule: transfer RNA, 72 nt
Filed under: Chelonia mydas (Green sea turtle)
Lineage: Eukaryota; Metazoa; Chordata; Testudines; Cheloniidae
Rfam family: tRNA
About the family: Transfer RNA (tRNA) molecules are approximately 80 nucleotides in length. Their secondary structure includes four short double-helical elements and three loops (D, anti-codon, and T loops).
Source: Rfam by way of RNAcentral
GGCAGUGUGGCCUAGUGAGUAAAGCACUGGACUGGGAUUCAGGAGACCUAAGUUUUAUUCCUGGCUCUGCCA